GAUGAACGCUGGCGGCGUGCUUAACACAUGCAAGUCGAACGGAGUGCCUUUGAAAGAGGAUUCGUCCAAUUGAUAAGGUUACUUAGUGGCGGACGGGUGAGUAACGCGUGAGGAACCUGCCUUGGAGUGGGGAAUAACACAGUGAAAAUUGUGCUAAUACCGCAUAAUGCAGUUGGGUCGCAUGACUCUGACUGCCAAAGAUUUAUCGCUCUGAGAUGGCCUCGCGUCUGAUUAGCUAGUUGGUGGGGUAACGGCCCACCAAGGCGACGAUCAGUAGCCGGACUGAGAGGUUGGCCGGCCACAUUGGGACUGAGACACGGCCCAGACUCCUACGGGAGGCAGCAGUGGGGAAUAUUGGGCAAUGGGCGCAAGCCUGACCCAGCAACGCCGCGUGAAGGAAGAAGGCUUUCGGGUUGUAAACUUCUUUUCUUAGGGACGAAGCAAGUGACGGUAC
This 454-nucleotide ribosomal RNA is filed under the name uncultured bacterium. RNAcentral describes it as "bacterial SSU rRNA". It matches the Rfam family "Bacterial small subunit ribosomal RNA", at positions 28 to 478 of the family's 1533-position model. The record is from RNAcentral.